UGAUGCACUUUAACAACCCCAAAGUUCAGGCAUUGCUGGCAGCAAACACUUUACCACCAUUACAGGCCAUGCUGAGACAAAGCAGCUGACAGAAAUGCUACCCAGUAUCUUAAUUCAACUUGGUGCAGACAGGCUGACUACACCAAGUAGGUUUAA
Mustela erminea (ermine) is the source of this 156-nucleotide long non-coding RNA. RefSeq lists it as uncharacterized. The transcript is spliced from 3 exons. NCBI's taxonomy places the organism in Eukaryota, Metazoa, Chordata, Mammalia, Carnivora, Mustelidae. The record is from RefSeq and is a predicted model, not a curated record.